GACGAACGCUGGCGGCGUGCUUAACACAUGCAAGUCGAACGCUGAAGCUCAGCUUUUGUUGGGUGGAUGAGCGGCGAACGGGUGAGUAACACGUGAGUAACCUGCCUCCUUCUUUGGGAUAACGCCCGGAAACGGGUGCUAAUACUGGAUAUUCACUGGUCUUCGCAUGGGGGUUGGUGGAAAGGGUUUUUCUGGUGGGGGAUGGGCUCGCGGCCUAUCAGCUUGUUGGUGGGGUGAUGGCCUACCAAGGCUUUGACGGGUAGCCGGCCUGAGAGGGUGACCGGUCACAUUGGGACUGAGAUACGGCCCAGACUCCUACGGGAGGCAGCAGUGGGGAAUAUUGCACAAUGGGCGCAAGCCUGAUGCAGCGACGCCGCGUGAGGGAUGGAGGCCUUCGGGUUGUGAACCUCUUUCGCUCAUGGUCAAGCCGCAACAAUGGUUGUGGUGAGGGUAGUGGGUAAAGAAGCGCCGGCUAACUACGUG
This 483-nucleotide ribosomal RNA is filed under the name uncultured bacterium. RNAcentral's name for it is "partial 16S ribosomal RNA". It matches the Rfam family "Bacterial small subunit ribosomal RNA", at positions 28 to 507 of the family's 1533-position model. The record is from RNAcentral.